RNAcentral lists this ribosomal RNA (253 nucleotides) under uncultured bacterium. Its description in RNAcentral is "partial 16S ribosomal RNA". It matches the Rfam family "Bacterial small subunit ribosomal RNA", at positions 524 to 776 of the family's 1533-position model. The record is from RNAcentral.
UACGAAGGGGGCUAGCGUUGUUCGGAAUUACUGGGCGUAAAGGGCGCGUAGGCGGUACUUCAAGUCAGGCGUGAAAGCCCCGGGCUCAACCUGGGAACCGCGCUUGAGACUGGAGAGCUAGAGUUCGGGAGAGGAUGGUGGAAUUCCCAGUGUAGAGGUGAAAUUCGUAGAUAUUGGGAAGAACACCAGUGGCGAAGGCGGUUGCCUGGAGCUUUGCUGACGCUGAUGCGCGAAAGCGUGGGGAGCGAUCCGG